Molecule: long non-coding RNA, 499 nt
Filed under: Nicotiana benthamiana
Lineage: Eukaryota; Viridiplantae; Streptophyta; Magnoliopsida; Solanales; Solanaceae
Description: long non-coding RNA (NBEN_LNC002309)
Source: RNAcentral
UGGUUAGUGAUGAAUUAAAUCGGGUAUAAACCUUGUAAUUCCGUUGGUAAGUCCUAUAUGGCGGGUUGUAUCACCUAGGGAUGUUCCCGGUCGGGUUUAUAACGAUUAAUUCUCGAUUUGCAUAAAAUAGAUUAAACAGAAUAAAUCCCAGCUUUGUAAAAGGCCCUACAGCCCUAAAAAGGUCCUGCUAAAUACUUGGUAUCAAAGCCAGGGAAGAUCUACUCAGGUUAUGGAAGUUGUUAUUCAACACUUAACUUUCUUUUAAUAUGUCUUGGUUUAAUAAACCAAAGUUUAUUAAAAAUAUGAUUAAAGAAUAAGUUGAUUUCCCUGCUCAACAAGAUUUAUAAAAUACUUGGGUGAUUCCUAAAGUAUAUAUUGAGACUAUAUAUAAAUUAGGAACUUUUGAAAGAUUUGCUGGAAAAACUACUGUGAAAAUCACAGAGUUGAGUUUUACAAUGGAUAAAGAUAGUGGAGUUUUUAAUUUAUUAUCUCAAAAUGA